Molecule: non-coding RNA, 258 nt
Organism: Glycine soja
Lineage: Eukaryota; Viridiplantae; Streptophyta; Magnoliopsida; Fabales; Fabaceae
Source: Rfam
UUUAUAAAGGUUGGUCAGUGAGACAAUGAGAGAUAAGCUUCAUCGUCGAAAGGGAAAUAAUACGAAUUACCAACUAAGGUCCCUAAAUGAUCACUCACUCAGUAAUAAAGAAGGUAAGGUCUGGAGACAAACAUAAGGUUUGUCUAAAAGUAACCACUCUUGAAAGCAUGCAUAAUAGCUCAUUUGUCAAGCACUCUUACACCGAAGAAGAACAGGACUAAGUUAAGCGAUUUGCCGAAGCUAUGAAAUGUAAAAAUG